UAGGUGAGCCGGGCGACGGUUGUCCCGGUUUAAGCAUGUAGGCAGUGGGAUUAGGCAAAUCCGGUCCCACAAUGCCGAGACGCGACGACGACUGCCCUUUUAGGGCGGGAAGUCAUUGAUGCCCUGCUUCCAGGAAAAUCUUCUAAGCUUCAGGCUAUUCGAGACCGUACCCCAAACCGACACAGGUGGGUGAGGAGAGUAUCCUCAGGUGCUCGAGUAAUUCAUGGCUAAGGAACUAGGC
RNAcentral lists this ribosomal RNA (241 nucleotides) under Fragilariopsis kerguelensis. RNAcentral's name for it is "partial Bacterial large subunit ribosomal RNA". It matches the Rfam family "Bacterial large subunit ribosomal RNA", at positions 1483 to 1718 of the family's 2925-position model. The record is from RNAcentral. Lineage: Eukaryota; Bacillariophyta; Bacillariophyceae; Bacillariales; Bacillariaceae.